Molecule: long non-coding RNA, 329 nt
Organism: Oxyura jamaicensis (ruddy duck)
Lineage: Eukaryota; Metazoa; Chordata; Aves; Anseriformes; Anatidae
Exons: 2
Source: RefSeq, a predicted model, not a curated record
GCGAGGGGGUGGCGCGGAAAUGCCCCUUUUCCCUGGGGCAGCCCCCAGUUUCCCCAGUCCGUGGUGGUGCUGGAUGCUGGGAUGUGCUGGGACGGGGUCCCCUGAGCAAGGGACCCCCCCUGGGGGGGGACAGGUCUUGUUGAAGGCCACCAUGGGAAAACCUGGGGCUCCCCCCGCACACGGGUGCUCCCUGUCCUUGCACUGUCCCCUCCUUGUGCUCUGUCACUGUGUCACCGUCCCCUGUCCUGUCUGUCACCCCCCCCCCCCCCCAUCACCAGGGGAGGGGGCUCGGAGCAUGUGUAAAGAAUAAAGCAGGGGGAGAAGAGGAA